This 414-nucleotide long non-coding RNA is filed under the name Capsicum annuum. Its description in RNAcentral is "long non-coding RNA (CANN_LNC016057)". The record is from RNAcentral. Lineage: Eukaryota; Viridiplantae; Streptophyta; Magnoliopsida; Solanales; Solanaceae.
UUCUCCAUCCAUCCUCAUCCUCUCCACCAUCAUCAUCAGAGCUAGGAGCGGAGAACGAGGACGCUUGAUUAACGUAUUUACUUGAGUCUUGAGUUUUUGGAUGUCUGACUCAAGUGUCAUCCUACGUCGCUCCUCUUUCAUCCUUCUUUUUGUUCCUCCUCGUACUUCCUAUCAAGCUACCAAAUUUCCUAUCGCAUCUCCUCAAGCUGCUCAUCUGGCAUGGUGGCGAACCUUCUAUACCUUGCAAUCCACACUAGAGGAAAUGAAAUUUCUUCUUGGAGCAAAGAUCGUGCGCCCUUCUCUUAAACAUGCCGCCAACUACAUUCAGCCAACAUAAGAGAGUUUCUUCCUCUGAUAGCAUGAUUGGAUUGCCUUGAUCAUCUAUCGGUUGAAUUUUUUUGAGCUCUUCAAUUG